UUGAAGAGUGGCGAACGGGUGAGGAACACGUAAGAAUCUACCUUUCGGUUGGGGAUAACUUCUAGAAACGGGAGCUAAUACCCAAUAUGCUGUGGAGUGAAAGAAUUUCGCCGAAAGACGAUCUUGCGUCUGAUUAGCUAGUUGGUAAGGUAAAAGCUUACCAAGGCGACAAUCAAUAGCUGAUUUGAGAGGAUGAUCAGCCACAUUGGGACUGAGACACGGCCCAGACUCC
Molecule: ribosomal RNA, 232 nt
Filed under: uncultured bacterium
Lineage: Bacteria
Description: partial 16S ribosomal RNA
Rfam family: Bacterial small subunit ribosomal RNA
Source: RNAcentral